AGUGCAGAAUUUUCUGCAGAAAAGUUACUAGGAGCAAACCUCAAAGUGCAGAAUUUUCUGCAGUUUAGCGUUAACGGUUUAGAAAAAUUAUUUCUUGAGAACUAUACAUGUUAGACGAAUGCAGUUUUCGCGAUUGUUUUCUUCUCUGUUUAUUUUACAUAGAAAAAAUUGUUUUGGAUUUUAUUUUGAAAUAAAUUUGUCAUUUUUGAUUUUUUACGUAAACAGACCUCUUACACAACUCAAGGUCAUCUAUAGCCUAGAGCAACUUCAGCAGUAAAUGCUCAAGAUAUAGGCCUAUCUGAUGUAUUUGCAUCUGAAAUUCAUUGAAAUUGAUUGAUUACUUUUUAGUAAGUUAAUUUUACAUUGUCUUCUCUUGUUGUACUGUUUUAAUAACACAUAAAUGAUUGUAUUCAAAUAUUUUAUUUUUAUAUUAACAUCAAUCAUUUAUAGGCCUUAAUUGAUAUAUGUAUUCAAGUUAGCAAAGCCAACAGCCUCAA
RNAcentral lists this long non-coding RNA (497 nucleotides) under Centruroides sculpturatus (bark scorpion). Its description in RNAcentral is "uncharacterized LOC111613519, transcript variant X2". The record is from RNAcentral. Lineage: Eukaryota; Metazoa; Arthropoda; Arachnida; Scorpiones; Buthidae.